Molecule: long non-coding RNA, 2088 nt
Filed under: Marmota monax (woodchuck)
Lineage: Eukaryota; Metazoa; Chordata; Mammalia; Rodentia; Sciuridae
Source: RNAcentral
UUUUUUUAAGCUGUUCAUUUUCCUUGGAAAAUUGUGAGGAUUGUGGGAGUCCUCAGUUGAAGUUUUGUUUCUCCAAAAAGGAUUUACUCAGCCUUCUGCACAUGAUCUGAAGGGUGCCACGGAGUGUUAACUCAACCCGCAGAGCAGUUGAGGGCUGGCUUGUGGUCAUGCGCUCUCAGGGGAGAUCUUCCCCCACUCCAACACCAAAGUCAAAACACGUGCAGUUCCUCGUGCUCUUUGGCACAGGGGGUUUAUUUCUUGUCUACUUUUACCUUUAGAGUGUAGCUCCUGGGAGGUGGUGCAAGGUUUAGGUGGUGUCUUCGGAUAGACUCCAUGUUGGUGGCACUUCAGUCUUAACAAACCUCAAGCCAUUGCUGCUGUGGAAACAGAAACUCGGGGCUAAAGGUGGUUUGUCGCCUGCUCACUUCCCAAGGUUCUUGCUUUCACUUCGUUUUGGCUUUUGUAGAUUCUCUUCCUUUUGUGUCUGUAUGAGUGUGUGUUUUAAAUGCUUCUGUAUUUUAUCCAGUGCUUUAGUUUCAAUUGAGAAGACAGUUCAGGAUAUCAGGUCUGCCCUUCUGCAAAGAAAGGAAGCCUGGUGUGUUUGCUAUCAUCAUUUUGGUUUUGAUAAGCAGGACACGAGCAGUUUCUGACUGCCGGGUUUGCAGUGUAUGAAUCCUGGUUGCUAUGCAGUUGUUGCUGGAAAAUAGUCUGUGGGCUCAGAGUUUCUAAACCAACCAUUUCUUGGAUGCCCAGAGAAGGAAGGAAAGCGAGGGCCUCGGCUUGCUGAUUACCAACCAUCUCCAUGGCCACAGGUUGCUGGGCUCUCCUCUGUUUUCCCAGCAGCACUCAGGCAGUAAGAGCUUUCUUUUAUCACUUCUCAGUUUUGGGUAUUUGUUUGUAAGAGAAAGGACUGUGUACCUGCUUGUGGAGACACGUGUGACACAAGGCAAGGGACGAAUGGGAGGAGAGAGCCGACUCCAAGCAUAACAGAUUGUUUCCAUAGGACCCUACAGAAACAACUAACCUAUUUUUGUUUUUGCUUUUACAGGGGCUGGGGGAAGGAGAGGAACAUAACUCAUUCAGGUCUGAAUUUUUAAAGUUGGAGUAUUUAUUCUGCCUCGUAAAUGAUCCACAUUUAAAUCACCUGAAUUAGGGAAGAUGUUUUAAAAAUUGUAGAAUUUUUAAAAUUCUACAUCUGGCAUAAUUUUAGUAUGACUUUUCUUCUAGUUUUUAAGCUUCAACAGAGGCCCCAAAGGCUGAGAACAACACUAUAGGUUAAGCCCCUUUCCAUUCUGAAGCAAGAUGCAAGAUAGUCUGUGUUAGUCGUUAUAUAUUUAGGAAUUGGCUCUAUAAAGAUUGCAGAGGCCAAUCCCAAGAUCUGCAGUGGGCAAGCUGGAGACCCAGAAGAGCCAAAGGUGCAGUUUAGUUCAAAUCCAACAGACCAAGAAGCAGGAGAACGUGUGGUCUAAAUUCCAGUCUGAAAACUGGGAGCCUCAAGGCCAAAAGAAUGAAUAAUGUUUUAGGUCAAGGCUGAAGGCAGGAAAAGAUUAUUGUUCCAGGGUAAGCCCUCAGGCAGGAGGAAUUCCCUCUUACUCAUGGGAGGGUCAGCAUUUGGUUCUAUUCAGGCCUUCAACUGAUUGGAUAAGGCACACACACUUUAAGAAAGGCAAUCUACUCAAUCUCAUGAUUUAAAUGAAUGUUAAUGUCUUCUAGGUACACUCUCACAGACAUGUCUGGAAUGGUGUUUGGCCAAAUAUCUGUGUACCUCAUGAUUCAGUCAAAUUGAAAUCAACUCUCAUAGGUGCAAAAGAAAUACAGAACAGGUAGGAUAAACUAAAAGUGCACAGUGGGAUGGUAGGUUUAUACUCAUGCCUCUUGGUAACUGUAUCAAAUAUUAACAGAGCAAAUGCUCCAGUAUGAAAAAAAAUUAAAACAGACAAAACAAAAAAUCACAAAAUUUAAGAAAUUGCUGUUUAUAAGAGCCACAUCUAAAGCAAUAGGGCUUAGAAAAGUUCAAAGCAAAUGAAUUGAGAUACACACACUGACCAAAUAAGUGAAUAAAUGAAAACUGAUAUAACUGAUGUUAAA